GGAGGAUCCGAGCGUUAUCCGGAUUUAUUGGGUUUAAAGGGAGCGUAGGCGGACGCUUAAGUCAGUUGUGAAAGUUUGCGGCUCAACCGUAAAAUUGCAGUUGAUACUGGGUGUCUUGAGUACAGUAGAGGCAGGCGGAAUUCGUGGUGUAGCGGUGAAGUGCUUAGAUAUCACGAAGAACUCCGAUUGCGAAGGCAGCCUGCUGGACUGUAACUGACGCUGAUGCUCGAAAGUGUGGGUAUCAAACAGGAUUAGAUACCCUGGUAGUCCACACAGUAAACGAUGAAUACUCGCUGUUUGCAAUAUACAGUAAGCGGCCAAGCGAAAGCGUUAAGUAUUCCACCUGGGGAGUACGCCGGCAACGGUG
RNAcentral lists this ribosomal RNA (367 nucleotides) under uncultured bacterium. Its description in RNAcentral is "bacterial SSU rRNA". It matches the Rfam family "Bacterial small subunit ribosomal RNA", at positions 527 to 896 of the family's 1533-position model. The record is from RNAcentral.